Molecule: ribosomal RNA, 352 nt
Filed under: uncultured bacterium
Lineage: Bacteria
Description: partial 16S ribosomal RNA
Rfam family: Bacterial small subunit ribosomal RNA
Source: RNAcentral
CCUACGGGUGGCAGCAGUAGGGAAUCUUCCACAAUGGACGAAAGUCUGAUGGAGCAACGCCGCGUGAGUGAAGAAGGGUUUCGGCUCGUAAAGCUCUGUUGGUAGUGAAGAAAGAUAGAGGUAGUAACUGGCCUUUAGUUGACGGUAAUUACGGAGAAAGGCACGGCUAACUAAGUGCCAGCAGCCGCGGUAAGCCGUAGGUGGCAAGCGUUGUCCGGAUUUAUUGGGCGUAACGCGAGUGCAGGCGGUUCAAUAAGUCUGAGGUGAAAGCCUUCGGCUCAACCGGAGAAUUGCAUCCGAAACUGUUGAACUUGCGUGCAGAAGAGGUGAGUGGAACUCCAUGUGUAGCGGU